GACGAACGCUGGCGGCGUGCUUAACACAUGCAAGUCGAACGGAAAGGCCCUGCUUGCAGGGUACUCGAGUGGCGAACGGGUGAGUAACACGUGGGUGAUCUGCCCUGCACUUCGGGAUAAGCCUGGGAAACUGGGUCUAAUACCGGAUAGGAGCCAUUUUUAGUGUGAUGGUUGGAAAGAUUUUUCGGUGUAGGAUGAGCUCGCGGCCUAUCAGCUUGUUGGUGGGGUAAUGGCCUACCAAGGCGGCGACGGGUAGCCGGCCUGAGAGGGUGGACGGCCACAUUGGGACUGAGAUACGGCCCAGACUCCUACGGGAGGCAGCAGUGGGGAAUAUUGCACAAUGGGCGCAAGCCUGAUGCAGCGACGCCGCGUGGGGGAUGACGGCCUUCGGGUUGUAAACUCCUUUCGCUAGGGACGAAGCUUUUUGUGACGGUACCUAGAGAAGAAGCACCGGCUAACUACGUG
Molecule: ribosomal RNA, 465 nt
Filed under: uncultured bacterium
Lineage: Bacteria
Description: partial 16S ribosomal RNA
Rfam family: Bacterial small subunit ribosomal RNA
Source: RNAcentral